CCUACGGGUGGCAGCAGUGAGGAAUAUUGGUCAAUGGGCGGGAGCCUGAACCAGCCAAGUCGCGUGAGGGAAGACGGUCCUACGGAUUGUAAACCUCUUUUGCCGGGGAGCAACGGUGUCCUUGCGAGGGCCCGAUGAGAGUACCCGGAGAAAAAGCAUCGGCUAACUCCGUGCCAGCAGCCGCGGUACUACGGGGGCUGCGAGCGUUAUCCGGUUUUAUUGGGGUUAAGGGGGUCGUAGGCGGGCUGUUAAGUCAGCGGUCAAAGGUCGGGGCUCAACCCCGGCCUGCCGUUGAAACUGGCGGCCUAGAGUGGGCGAGAAGUAUGCGGAAUGCGUGGUGUAGCGGUGAAAUGCAUAGAUAUCACGAAGAACUCCGAUGGCGAAGGCAGCAUACUGGCGCCCUACUGACGCUGAGGCACGAAAGCGUGGGUAUCGAACAGGAUUAGAUACCCUUGUAGUC
Molecule: ribosomal RNA, 460 nt
Filed under: uncultured bacterium
Lineage: Bacteria
Description: partial 16S ribosomal RNA
Rfam family: Bacterial small subunit ribosomal RNA
Source: RNAcentral